RNAcentral lists this ribosomal RNA (292 nucleotides) under uncultured bacterium. Its description in RNAcentral is "partial 16S ribosomal RNA". It matches the Rfam family "Bacterial small subunit ribosomal RNA", at positions 505 to 796 of the family's 1533-position model. The record is from RNAcentral.
GUGUCAGCAGCCGCGGUAAUACGGGGGGAGCAAGCGUUGUUCGGAAUCACUGGGCGUAAAGGGCGUGUAGGCGGUCGGGUAAGUGGGAUGUGAAAGCCCCGGGCUCACCCCGGGAUCGUCAUCUCAAACUGCUCGGCUUGAGUACAGGAGAGGGUGGGGGAAUUCCAGGUGUAGCGGUGAAAUGCGUAGAUAUCUGGAGGAACACCGGUGGCGAAGGCGCCCACCUGGCCUGCUACUGACGCUGAGGCGCGAAAGCUAGGGGAGCAAACGGGAUUAGAUACCCCGGUAGUCC